GACGAACGCUGGCGGCGUGCUUAACACAUGCAAGUCGAACGAAGAGCGAUGGAAUCUUUCUUCUACCCGUCUUAGUGGCGAACGGGUGAGUCACGCGUAAUCAACCUGCCCUUCAGAGGGGGACAACAGUUGGAAACGACUGCUCAUACCGCAUACGAUCUGACCUCGGCAUCGGGGAUAGAUUUAAGGUGGCCUCUACAUGUAAGCUAUCACUGCAGGAUGGUAUUGCGUCUGUUUAGUACGUUGGAGGGGUAAAGGCCCACCAAGGCGAUGAUCAGUAGCCGGUAUGAGAGGAUGAACGGCCACAUUGGGACUGAGACACGGCCCAGACUCCUACGGGAGGCAGCAGUGGGGAAUCUUCCGCAAUGGGCGAAAGUCUGACGGAGCAACGCCGCGGGAGGGAUGACGGCCGUCGGGUUGGAAAGCUCUGUUAAUCGGGACGAAAGGCCUUUUUGCGAAUAGUGAGAAGGAUUGACGGUACCGGAAUAGAAAGCAACGGCUAACUACGUG
RNAcentral lists this ribosomal RNA (510 nucleotides) under uncultured bacterium. RNAcentral describes it as "partial 16S ribosomal RNA". It matches the Rfam family "Bacterial small subunit ribosomal RNA", at positions 28 to 507 of the family's 1533-position model. The record is from RNAcentral.